UAGGGAAUCUUCGGCAAUGGACGAAAGUCUGACCGAGCAACGCCGCGUGAGUGAAGAAGGUUUUCGGAUCGUAAAACUCUGUUGUUAGAGAAGAACAAGGACGUUAGUAACUGAACGUCCCCUGACGGUAUCUAACCAGAAAGCCACGGCUAACUACGUGCCAGCAGCCGCGGUAAUACGUAGGUGGCAAGCGUUGUCCGGAUUUAUUGGGCGUAAAGCGAGCGCAGGCGGUUUCUUAAGUCUGAUGUGAAAGCCCCCGGCUCAACCGGGGAGGGUCAUUGGAAACUGGGAGACUUGAGUUCAGAAGAGGGGAGUGGAAUUCCAUGUGUAGCGGUGAAAUGCGUAGAUAUAUGUAGGAACACCAGUGGCGAAGGCGGCUCUCUGGUCUGUAACUGACGCUGAGUCUCGAAAGCGUGGGGAGCAAACAGG
This 429-nucleotide ribosomal RNA is filed under the name Gemmatimonadota bacterium. RNAcentral's name for it is "Gemmatimonadetes bacterium partial 16S ribosomal RNA". It matches the Rfam family "Bacterial small subunit ribosomal RNA", at positions 355 to 776 of the family's 1533-position model. Lineage: Bacteria; Pseudomonadati; Gemmatimonadota. The record is from RNAcentral.